UGCCAGCAGCCGCGGUAAUACGUACCGGACAAACGUUAUUCGGAAUCACUGGGCUUAAAGAGUACGUAGGCUGCCUUGUAGGUGAGAUGUGAAAUCCCACGGCCUAACCGUGGAACUGCGUUUCAAACCACAAGGCUUGAGGGAGACAGGGGUGAGCGGAACUGAUGGUGGAGCGGUGAAAUGCGUUGAUAUCAUCAGGAACACCAGUGGCGAAAGCGGCUCACUGGACCGAUACUGACGCUGAGGAGCGAAAGCUAGGGGAGCGAACGGGAUUAGAUA
RNAcentral lists this ribosomal RNA (279 nucleotides) under uncultured bacterium. RNAcentral's name for it is "partial 16S ribosomal RNA". It matches the Rfam family "Bacterial small subunit ribosomal RNA", at positions 506 to 784 of the family's 1533-position model. The record is from RNAcentral.